AUGAAGACCCUUUUGAGGACUUCUUUGGGAAUCGAAGGGGUCCCCGAGGAAGCAGAAGCCGAGGGACGGGGUCGUUCUUCUCUGCAUUCGGUGGAUUUCCAUCUUUUGGAAGUGCAUUUCCUUCUUUUGAUACAGGAUUUACUUCAUUUGGGUCACUGGGUCACGGAGGUCUCGCUUCAUUUUCUUCUGCAUCAUUUGGUGGUAGUGGGAUGGGCAACUUCAGAUUGAUACCAACUUCAACUAAAAUAGUUAAUGCAGAAAAAUCACUACAAAGAGAAUUGUCGAGAAUGGUCAAGAAAGAAUAGAAGUUGAAGAAGACGGCCAGUUAAAGUCCUUAAUAAUAAAUGGUAAGUAGCAGCUGCUGCGCUUGGAUAACAAGUAACUCAACGCACGCGCUUAACAGAAAUGUUGAAGUAUAAUAAGCACCAUUUGAGGAUUAACAGGAACAUUUUUUGAAGAUUUCAAACGAACUUGACUUUCAGUAUAAUUGUACCUAAAGUAUUUAUAAACAGCUCAUUGGAGCCUCUAUUUGUCUAGACUUUUGAGUUUAUUGUUGGGACCACAUAAUAGGAUCAUUUUUUUUUUGUCUUUAAAAUUGUUGUAAAUCUCUGCAUGCACUUUGCUUUUUUAUUAAAUGUACUCCAAGGUGAGUCUUGACUCUUUAGUGUAGGACAAGAUUGUACACUAACACCAGCAUGGACCUGCUUUUCAUUGUGUCUGAAAUGUGAGCCACGUAGUGUUGGCCUGCUGUGAAGUUAACAUUGCCAGGACGAAUCUUCUAUAGAAAUAAUUUUCAUUUCUGUAAUAAUUUCCAUUUCUAUUAAUAUCUAGUGAAAGAUAUUAAUGCAUUAAUGGUAAUACAUUUCUGGUUUAAUAUAAAUUACGGAUGUUUUCUAGUUGUACAUGAAUGCUGGCAACUCAGUAAGUUUUGACAAUUGUUUAAAUAUGUAAUGUUAAGCUUAGGUUUAAAAAAGUAAAGCUGGUAAACCAGAUCUUUGUCAUUUGCUUAAAAAACAAAAAAGGAAAAUAAAUGUGAAUGUGUUGGUGCAAAAAAAAUUUUUUUUUCAUCAAAAUGAAAAACUUUAGUGUUGAAGGACAAAAAUCAAGAUAUUGAAAAGGCAGCCUAUAGGAUAGGAGAAGAUAUUUGUGAAUCAUGUGCUGAUAAGGGAUUAAUGUCCAGAAAAUAUGAAAAACCCUACGACUCAAAAACAAAGAAAUAAACAACCAAAAUGCAAAUCAAAACCACAAUGUGAUAUUACUUUUCCAGCAAACCACCAUGGCACAUGUAUACCUAUGUAACAAACCUGUACAUUCUGCAUAUGUAUCCAAGAAUUAAAGUAUAAAAAAAAAGUAAUGGCAAAAAACACAAUUACUUUUGAACGAACAUAAUAUUAUAAAACAAAACAAAACAGACACUAACAUGCGUUGGGGAGGAUGAGGAGAAACUGGAACAUUUGUGCAUUGCUGGUGGGAAUGUAAAGUGGCGCAGCUGCUGUGGAAACAGUAUGGAAGUUCCUCAAAAAUUAAACACAGAAUUACCACAUGAUCCAGCAAUUCCAUUUAUGGGUAUACACCCAAAAGAAGUUAAAGCAGAGACUAUAACAGAUAUUUUCGCACCAAUGCUUAUAUAAGCAUUAUUCACAGUAACCGAAAGUGGAAACACACUAAAUGUCCAUUGAUAGAUGAAUGGAUAAACAAAAUGCAGUGUAUACAUACAAUGGAAUAUUAUAAAUUCAGUAAAAGGAAUGAAAUUUUGAUACAUAUACAACAUGGAUAGACCUUGAAAAUAUUACACUAAUUGAAAUAAGUGAAACACAGAAGGUCAAAUAUUG
Molecule: long non-coding RNA, 1832 nt
Filed under: Callithrix jacchus (white-tufted-ear marmoset)
Lineage: Eukaryota; Metazoa; Chordata; Mammalia; Primates; Cebidae
Description: lncRNA (ENSCJAG00000077990.1)
Source: RNAcentral